CGAGACUUAAUUUAAAUGAAUGUUGGUUUUGGGGACCAAUUGUGGAGGAUAAAGUCCUUCAGUUUCGA
Molecule: transfer RNA, 68 nt
Filed under: Leptobrachella alpina
Lineage: Eukaryota; Metazoa; Chordata; Amphibia; Anura; Megophryidae
Description: tRNA-Pro
Rfam family: tRNA
About the family: Transfer RNA (tRNA) molecules are approximately 80 nucleotides in length.
Source: RNAcentral